RNAcentral lists this ribosomal RNA (165 nucleotides) under uncultured bacterium. Its description in RNAcentral is "partial 16S ribosomal RNA". It matches the Rfam family "Bacterial small subunit ribosomal RNA", at positions 1336 to 1500 of the family's 1533-position model. The record is from RNAcentral.
UAGUAAUCGUGGAUCAGCAUGCCACGGUGAAUACGUUCCCGGGUCUUGUACACACCGCCCGUCACACCAUGGGAGCCGGUAAUACCCGAAGUCAGUAGUCUAACCGCAAGGAGGACGCUGCCGAAGGUAGGAUUGGCGACUGGGGUGAAGUCGUAACAAGGUACC